This 497-nucleotide ribosomal RNA is filed under the name uncultured bacterium. RNAcentral's name for it is "partial 16S ribosomal RNA". It matches the Rfam family "Bacterial small subunit ribosomal RNA", at positions 28 to 507 of the family's 1533-position model. The record is from RNAcentral.
GAUGAACGCUGGCGGCGUGCCUAAUACAUGCAAGUCGAGCGAACAGACGAGGAGCUUGCUCCUCUGACGUUAGCGGCGGACGGGUGAGUAACACGUGGAUAACCUACCUAUAAGACUGGGAUAACUUCGGGAAACCGGAGCUAAUACCGGAUAAUAUAUUGAACCGCAUGGUUCAAUAGUGAAAGACGGUUUUGCUGUCACUUAUAGAUGGAUCCGCGCCGCAUUAGCUAGUUGGUAAGGUAACGGCUUACCAAGGCAACGAUGCGUAGCCGACCUGAGAGGGUGAUCGGCCACACUGGAACUGAGACACGGUCCAGACUCCUACGGGAGGCAGCAGUAGGGAAUCUUCCGCAAUGGGCGAAAGCCUGACGGAGCAACGCCGCGUGAGUGAUGAAGGUCUUCGGAUCGUAAAACUCUGUUAUUAGGGAAGAACAAAUGUGUAAGUACCUAUGAACGUCUUGACGGUACCUAAUCAGAAAGCCACGGCUAACUACGUG